GCCCUAUUGAUCUGAACUGAAACUCCCAUUUUCCAAAGCCAGUCCCAUGCCUAUUCAAGGACCCGAUACAACUUGACUUGGAGGAGGACAGCGCCAGUUGCUGCGUCUGGAUUCGCACUCGCCUCUUCAGUUAGCAUUUCAAAGGAGCGUGUGCUCAUUUGACUGAUGCUCUCUAUCUCUGGAGCUGCUCCUGUGAAAAGUGGCUGUGCUUCUAAGGAACUCAAAAUCUUCCUUUGGGUGCCAAAACCUUCUUUGAUGCAGCUAUAAAACAAACAAGGCACCUUGGGCUCUCUCCGCCUCUUACCCAUUCAACAAACAGCCUGAGUCAAUGUUGGCGCUUUUGCCACCUUCAGAUGCAUAAGAUGGCUGUAGCUUCCUCUUCGGAUAGAAAGGGCACCGUCAACGCCCUGAAAACAAGCCAGGAAGAUGACGAUUCUUUUCUUUUUUCCAGGCAGGUGUGGUCUAAUCAAAACAUGUAACUGUUUAAUUCCUCUCAUUCAGUUGAAGAAGGCAAAUGGCAGGCCUGGCACACUGCUCCUCCUCUGCUCCGACAAGCCCAGUGAAUUCCCCCUGUGCUUCCAGUCGCAGCCGAGGAAAAAGUAAACAGAAAAGAGAAAGAACAACAACCCUGUAGCUGACACAAGAAGGGCUUGGUUUCCCCAGGUGCCCCUGAGGAUUCUCGCAUCACCUCUGCUGUUGACAGAUGGCUUUUGCUUUUCGCUUUUGAAUUUUGUGUCAAUGACUUUCCAGUGACUGGAAUACAUUAUGUUCUCGGGUCCCGCCCUGGCUCUCGAGAUGCUUUUAAUUUGUAGGUUUAAGCUUAAAUUCCUCGACGGGUGCCAACUUUUCUGUUUGUUUUCCUCGGGAGCGCUUUGCACUAUGGGUUUCGGUAACUGUUAACCGUUGGGGGGCAUUAAUUGCAGCUCCCGAGGUCAUCUUUCAGAGCUGACUUAUAUUUCUGUCGACACCAGAGUUGCUCCUCGACGACCUGCCUUUCUGCUGUGGCGCAGCUUUUUUUGACUCCUGUAAUUACCCUCUGAAUUUAAGCUGAUUAUGUCGACUUUG
This is a long non-coding RNA of Podarcis raffonei (Aeolian wall lizard), 1065 nucleotides long. RefSeq lists it as uncharacterized. Lineage: Eukaryota; Metazoa; Chordata; Lepidosauria; Squamata; Lacertidae. The record is from RefSeq and is a predicted model, not a curated record. The transcript is spliced from 2 exons.